ACUGCUGUUGGCAGCUCCUAGGGCAACAACAGAACCUCCCAGCCUCCCUUCACUGGGGGAGAAGCAUGAGCUGAAAACAAAAGAAGGGAUUAGAGCCCAGAUGGAGCGGCCUGAGCUCGGGGCGGGGUCCCCAGGGGCACCCCCCUCGUCCUCGGCCCUUCAGCUCCUUGCCCUCGGCCGUCUCUGGGCGUCACCAGCCAGCAGCUGCCUUGCUGGCCAGCGGUUUCUGUUGCAGGAGCCUCUUGUGCUCGGGGGCUGGCCACAGGGCCUCCGCUGUCCCUCAUAAUGUGUUUCAAGUGAUUUUGCUUUUGAGGAACCUGCCCGCCCAGGACUUCAAGGGCCUCUGCUGACCCAUGCACGUCCCAAGGCCUCCGCCGCAGCCCCAUUCGCCACACGGCCCCUGGCUCCUGCCCACUUAUGGCUGGUCCUGGGCUCCCGUGGCCAAGGAGAGUUGGGCAGACGUUGGCAGAUGUGUCUCCUUUGUCCCUGGAGUGAUUCCAGGCUCGGCUGAAACUCUGAAAGGCGAGCCCAGCCAGAGGUGCCUCGGAGGCCCAAGUGUGCAGCCUGUCAUUCCCCAGCAGUGACUCCACAGGCCUCCAGUGCACAUCAUCUCCUCAUACGUCCCCCAAGGACCCUGGGCUACCGAGGGAACACUAGCUCAUAGCUUGUGACUUCAGCACUGUAUGGAAGAGAACAGGAGCAGACCCGUCUCACUGUUGGGGCAGCU
RNAcentral lists this long non-coding RNA (727 nucleotides) under Homo sapiens (human). RNAcentral's name for it is "non-protein coding lnc-PSMA6-5:1". The record is from RNAcentral. Lineage: Eukaryota; Metazoa; Chordata; Mammalia; Primates; Hominidae.